UAGGGAAUCUUCCACAAUGGGCGCAAGCCUGAUGGAGCAACACCGCGUGAGUGAAGAAGGGUUUCGGCUCGUAAAGCUCUGUUGUUAAAGAAGAACACGUAUGAGAGUAACUGUUCAUUCGAUGACGGUAUCUAACCAGCAAGUCACGGCUAACUACGUGCCAA
This 164-nucleotide ribosomal RNA is filed under the name uncultured bacterium. RNAcentral's name for it is "partial 16S rRNA". It matches the Rfam family "Bacterial small subunit ribosomal RNA", at positions 355 to 511 of the family's 1533-position model. The record is from RNAcentral.